UACGGGGGGGGCAAGCGUUGUUCGGAAUUACUGGGCGUAAAGGGCUCGUAGGUGGCCAACUAAGUCAGACGUGAAAUCCCCAGGCUCAACUUGGGAACUGCGUCUGAUACUGGAUGGCUUGAAUUCGGGAGAGGGAUGCAGAAUUCCAGGUGUAGCGGUGAAAUGCGCAGAUAUCAGGAGGAACACCAGCGGCGAAGGCGGCGCUCUGGGCUGGAACUGACGCUGAGGAGCGAAAGCGUGGGGGCGAACAGG
This 252-nucleotide ribosomal RNA is filed under the name uncultured bacterium. Its description in RNAcentral is "partial 16S ribosomal RNA". It matches the Rfam family "Bacterial small subunit ribosomal RNA", at positions 524 to 776 of the family's 1533-position model. The record is from RNAcentral.